UGGUUCUGGUUCUGGAGAGGUAGAGCAGACCAGAGCCAGAAGAUCUGAGAGUUAAAGGAGGCUGACAUGUGAGGAUGCUGUUGCAGGAAUCAAUGCUACUAAAGGAACUGACGAUCUGACCCUUUUCAUGGUCAAGCUUUGACCAUGACAUCUGCUGUGCUCGUCCUGAGCAUCACACAAAGACCAUGAGAAGGUUAAAAAAACGGCGCCUUAUGGGAUGAACACAUAUGCCCACCACUUUUCAGAUUUGUACAAAAACUAUGGAAAACUAUAAAUAAUUGUCCUUCCAUUUAUAGUUUGCGCUACCUUGUGUUAAUUUGGGAUGGGAUUACCUAAAAUCCCAACAAAAACACCUUAGAGUUUGUGGUUAUAAUGUAACAAACUGUGAAAAAGUUUAAGCGGUACUGAUUCUUUUGGAAGACAUGUGGAACCUUGUUUGUGUACGCGGUUUUGUUUCCAGUGUAGUUUCGGACCAGUUUUUAUAGGUUUUGAAACAGUAACAAAGUUUUUCUCAAUGGCAAGAAUUUGCAUUGAUUAUAUGUGCAAUAAAAAAAAUUUUAGCUCUUGUUUCCA
Gambusia affinis (western mosquitofish) is the source of this 573-nucleotide long non-coding RNA. RefSeq lists it as uncharacterized. Lineage: Eukaryota; Metazoa; Chordata; Actinopteri; Cyprinodontiformes; Poeciliidae. The record is from RefSeq and is a predicted model, not a curated record. The transcript has 2 exons.